This 265-nucleotide ribosomal RNA is filed under the name uncultured archaeon. RNAcentral describes it as "partial 16S ribosomal RNA". It matches the Rfam family "Archaeal small subunit ribosomal RNA", at positions 717 to 982 of the family's 1478-position model. The record is from RNAcentral.
ACACGACUACAUUAGAUACCCGGGUAGUCCCAGCCGUAAACUAUGCGCGUUAGGUGUACUGGUGACCACGAGUCACCGGGGUGCCGAAGGGAAACCGUGAAACGUGCCGCCUGGGAAGUACGGUCGCAAGGCUGAAACUUAAAGGAAUUGGCGGGGGAGCACCGCAACGGGAGGAGCGUGCGGUUUAAUUGGAUUCAACACCGUAAAACUCACCAGGGAAGACUGUUACAUGAAGGCCGAGAUGAAGACUCUGCUAGAUUUUCAG